RNAcentral lists this ribosomal RNA (721 nucleotides) under Arthrobacter humicola. Its description in RNAcentral is "bacterial SSU rRNA". It matches the Rfam family "Bacterial small subunit ribosomal RNA", at positions 70 to 803 of the family's 1533-position model. The record is from RNAcentral. Lineage: Bacteria; Bacillati; Actinomycetota; Actinomycetes; Micrococcales; Micrococcaceae.
GACCCGGUGCUUGCACCGGUGAUUAGUGGCGAACGGGUGAGUAACACGUGAGUAACCUGCCCUUAACUCUGGGAUAAGCCUGGGAAACUGGGUCUAAUACCGGAUAUGACUCCUCAUCGCAUGGUGGGGGGUGGAAAGCUUUAUUGUGGUUUUGGAUGGACUCGCGGCCUAUCAGCUUGUUGGUGAGGUAAUGGCUCACCAAGGCGACGACGGGUAGCCGGCCUGAGAGGGUGACCGGCCACACUGGGACUGAGACACGGCCCAGACUCCUACGGGAGGCAGCAGUGGGGAAUAUUGCACAAUGGGCGAAAGCCUGAUGCAGCGACGCCGCGUGAGGGAUGACGGCCUUCGGGUUGUAAACCUCUUUCAGUAGGGAAGAAGCGAAAGUGACGGUACCUGCAGAAGAAGCGCCGGCUAACUACGUGCCAGCAGCCGCGGUAAUACGUAGGGCGCAAGCGUUAUCCGGAAUUAUUGGGCGUAAAGAGCUCGUAGGCGGUUUGUCGCGUCUGCCGUGAAAGUCCGGGGCUCAACUCCGGAUCUGCGGUGGGUACGGGCAGACUAGAGUGAUGUAGGGGAGACUGGAAUUCCUGGUGUAGCGGUGAAAUGCGCAGAUAUCAGGAGGAACACCGAUGGCGAAGGCAGGUCUCUGGGCAUUAACUGACGCUGAGGAGCGAAAGCAUGGGGAGCGAACAGGAUUAGAUACCCUGGUAGUCCAUGCCGU